GAUGAAGAACGCAGUGAAAUGCGAUAAGUAAUGUGAAUUGCAGAAUUCAGUGAAUCAUCGAAUCUUUGAACGCACAUUGCGCCCGCCAGUAUUCUGGCGGGCAUGCCUGUUCGAGCGUCAUUUCAAGCAUCAAGCCCCCGGCUUGUGUUGGGGACCUGCGGCUGCCGCAGGCCCUGAAAACCAGUGGCGGGCUCGCUGUCACACCGAGCGUAGUAGAUUUUCAUCUCGCUCAGGGCGUGCUGCGGGUUCCGGCCGUAAAAAGCCUUAUUUACCCAAGGUUGACCUCGGAUCAGGUAGGAAGACCCGCUGAACUUAAGCAUAUCAAUAAGCGGAGA
Molecule: unclassified non-coding RNA, 335 nt
Filed under: soil metagenome
Description: partial contains 5.8S ribosomal RNA, internal transcribed spacer 2, and large subunit ribosomal RNA
Rfam family: 5.8S ribosomal RNA (bases 1-120)
Source: RNAcentral